Syngnathus acus (greater pipefish) is the source of this 1450-nucleotide long non-coding RNA. RefSeq lists it as uncharacterized. NCBI's taxonomy places the organism in Eukaryota, Metazoa, Chordata, Actinopteri, Syngnathiformes, Syngnathidae. The record is from RefSeq and is a predicted model, not a curated record. The transcript is spliced from 2 exons.
CCUUCUCGAGGGGAAACAAGAAGAUAAGAUUCAUCAAAUCGAAUCACACUGAAUCGUGUGUGUUAAGAUCUGCAUUUCUGGAAUGCGCACCAUGUUCAUAGCGAACAUAGAAUGUAAUGAUUACCACUUGCCACCUUGGCGUAUUUGCUUUUCCCUCAUAUUUAAAUGUGGUCGAGCAGAUGGAAUCAGUACAAAUAUCUUCACAAAUGUUGGGGGACAAAUGUUGAGCUGGAGCGCUGGUGUGUUGCGCAACACCUGAAUUUCACCUUUGCAUUUACUUUCUGCAUGAUUAAAGUCACAAUUUCAGUACUCAAUCACACGACCCCAUCAAGGCGUCUUAAACUUAAGUAGUUUAAGUGGGAGACUCCAAGCAAGAAUGCAUGUUCAGUGAUGAAGGUGAAGACGACAGAGGCGGAGGAGAAGAUAUGUGGCCCAGCGGGCUCCUGAUGGAUUCCUGCACUCUACUUGCGCAUACUCCACUAUUAUCAAUGACACAUUGUUCUUCACCUUACAACCACAAACACCCGCACGUACCCUUAUAUUACACAGCUACACGCAUUGCACAACUAUGAAACAAAAAAGCAACACGUGAUGGUCAGCAUGGUGUAUGCUUCAGUUUGAUGUGCUUUUUAAAAAAAACACAUUUACUUCUGAAAGCAGUCAAAUUAACAUCAAUCUUUGCAAUUAUCACCACGUCGAGGCAGGGGUGAUGGUAUUUAAAGUCCCGCACUUACGUACCAACACCUUGCUACGCCCAGCAAAACCGGCUUUACCUGUUCUACAUUCCCUGUGGUUGAGAAGGUGCAUGCGUGCUGCACUGCAGGCUGACAUAUAUAUAAUGUGGCUCUUCGCUGCACAGAGCACGUACGGGCGGAGGAUGAUUGUGUGUAAAAGACAAAACAUGAAUUGAUUUGACUCUUGCAUCGACACCUAGCGCACUAUGUUGGGUGGGGUCUAAAGUAUUUAAAGUAAGCAGCAAUUCUAUUAGGCACACGCAAACUGGGUGUUGUCCUGCAUUUAUGUGUGUACCGAUAUGCUCAGAAUGUAGUUGUACCAAGAGCAGGGCUGAAUGCCAGAGGGCGUGAUGGGAGCGCCUACAAGAAGUGCUUGUGACAAAACCCGCAGGAAUGGAUUGGAGGUGGCUGCGAUCGACCAAGGGCGGACAAUGACACCCUUUGAAUGUUUGGUAAACUACACCCAGACACUUUCGCAAAGCUCUCUAAGGCACGUUGCGCAGUGAAAGGCGGUCUCCUCCAUAAAAUCAUGUAGCAGUACUGACCUGAGCAAUGGCAGCCUCGUUGUCUGCCAAACCCAACAGGAAGAUGCGGACCUUGUCGAUCUUGACGGGCACGCUCCUCCCGCGCCACUCCACCUCGCUCAUGGUGGCCGCCUGCUUGGUUCUCGCCUGAGUGAUCAGGGUCUGGAAGAAUAAAGACCUUUGGUAAAUUUG